UACGUAGGGACCAAGCGUUGUUCGGAUUUACUGGGCGUAAAGGGCGCGUAGGCGGGAUGGCAAGUCAGUCGUGAAAUCUCUCGGCUCAACCGAGAAACGUCGGCUGAUACUGCCGUUCUUGAGGGAUGCAGAGGAGACUGGAAUUCCCGGUGUAGCGGUGAAAUGUGUAGAGAUCGGGAGGAACACCGGUGGCGAAGGCGGGUCUCUGGGCAUUUCCUGACGCUGAGGCGCGAAAGCGUGGGGAGCAAACGGG
This 253-nucleotide ribosomal RNA is filed under the name uncultured bacterium. RNAcentral describes it as "partial 16S ribosomal RNA". It matches the Rfam family "Bacterial small subunit ribosomal RNA", at positions 524 to 776 of the family's 1533-position model. The record is from RNAcentral.